Molecule: ribosomal RNA, 375 nt
Filed under: uncultured organism
Description: bacterial SSU rRNA
Rfam family: Archaeal small subunit ribosomal RNA
Source: RNAcentral
CCAGCACCCCGAGUGGUCGGGACGAUUAUUGGGCCUAAAGCAUCCGUAGCCGGGUUUUACAAGUCCUCCGUUAAAUCCAACUGCUUAACAGAUGGGCCGCGGAGGAUACUAUAAGACUAGGAGGCAGGAGAGGCAAGCGGUACUCAGUGGUAGGGGUAAAAUCCGUUGAUCCAUUGAAGACCACCAGUGGCGAAGGCGGCUUGCCAGAAUGCGCUCGACGGUGAGGGAUGAAAGCUGGGGGAGCAAACCGGAUUAGAUACCCGGGUAGUCCCAGCUGUAAACGAUGCAGACUCGGUGAUGGACUAGCUUUAUGCUAGUCCAGUGCCGCAGGGAAGCCGUUAAGUCUGCCGCCUGGGUAGUACGGUCGCAAGACUG